Molecule: ribosomal RNA, 362 nt
Filed under: uncultured Pelotomaculum sp.
Lineage: Bacteria; Bacillati; Bacillota; Clostridia; Eubacteriales; Desulfotomaculaceae
Description: bacterial SSU rRNA
Rfam family: Bacterial small subunit ribosomal RNA
Source: RNAcentral
ACCCUCGGGUGACAGGGAGACAGGUGGUGCAUGGUUGUCGUCAGCUCGUAUCGUGAGAUGUUGGUUAAGUCCGCAACGAGCGCAACCCUACGUUUAGUUGCUAACGCGUGAAGGCGAGCACUCUAGACGAACUGCGUUGACAAACGGAGGAAGUGGGGAUGACGUCAAAUCAUCAUGCCCCUUAUGUUCUGGGCUACACACGUGCUACAAUGGCCGGUACAGACGGACGCAAAGCCGCGAGGUGGAGCAAAUCCUAAAAAGCCGGUCUCAGUUCGGAUUGCGGGCUGCAAUUCGCCUGCAUGAAGUCGGAAUCGCUAGUAAUCGCAGGUCAGCAUACUGCGGUGAAUACGUUCCCGGGCCUU